Molecule: RNA transcript, 3733 nt
Organism: Coffea arabica (coffee)
Lineage: Eukaryota; Viridiplantae; Streptophyta; Magnoliopsida; Gentianales; Rubiaceae
Gene name: transcription factor GTE4
Source: RefSeq, a predicted model, not a curated record
CCACCACCUCACUUCUCAAGCGCACUCUCUCUCUUCGCCUUCUCUCUUUCUCUCUCUAUUUGCCCCUCUCCUCUGUUUCCUGAAAACAAACCCUAAAAUUCCAAUUUUUAUUUCGAUUUUUCACCCCUGUUUUUAUUUUAUUUUUAUUUUUUAAAAAUAUUUUCUAAAGGAAAAAAAAACUUGCAGAUCCUCCUGUCUUCAAAAAAUUUCAUCUUCUUUCGGUUUCAACUAUUUAAAACAAAACCCUAGCCCGUAGGAUUCCGAUUUUUGUUUGGUUAUAAUUAUAAUAGUUUUUUAUUUUUGUUACUUUGAUGGUGCGUCAAUCGAACUAGGGUUUUUGGGAAUCUGAUUUUGACAUUUUUAUUGAAACCCUAGCUGUUUGGGAAUUUAUGUGAUUUCUUAAUAUCUAGGGUUUUGAGGGUUGAAAGAUUAGGGCUUUUUUUUCUUGAUUUAGAUGUUUGUAUGGAUUCAGGGACUUUAGGGACUAAUGAUAGUAAUUCCGAUUUGAAUGUUCGAGAGAGGGUUCGGUGGGGGGAUAAUAGCAAAGUCUAUACCCGAAGAAAUUUCAGAAAAAAGGCCCAAUUAGAAUCUGCAAAUAACGAUUCUGCCACCACUUCCACCACCGCUGCUGCCGAGCCGACCUCCACCGCCGCAGCAGCAGCCUCCACCGCCGGUGACACAGAGCCCACCUCUUCGAGCCCCGCCAAAAAUGAAUCUUUUGGCAAGAACGCGACUUUAGAGCUUUCCUCGGCAGAAACCUUAGCUGCCCAAAAUGGAAUUUGUUCGCAAGAGCAGCCGCAGUCGAGAUCCGAGGGCGAGCCCUCGACCUCAGACGUUGUUCGACCGCUGCCGGAGGAAGGCACCAGUGGCCAAGAGUUGUUGCCCAGUGGUGGAGAAGACCCGAUAUCUAAUGGUGACAGAGAAGACCAAGAGGUUCUGCCUGACGUGCCAGAAGCCGUGCCCAGUGGUGGUAGAGAAGAGCCUUCCCCGAGCAGUGGCCGUGAAGCUCUGCCUGAGAUGCAACCUACUGGUGGACAGGAACAAGUAUUGCCUAAUGGUGGAGAAGAAGAGCCGCCCCGGUGCAAUGGCCCAGAAGCUGAGCAAGAAGCCCUGCCGAAUACUGCUAGAGAAGACCCUCCUGAGCGAGAGCAAUCAGAGGUGGCAGCGCCAGUUGAUGAAGUACCAGAGGUUACUGGCAGUCAUGGGCCGGUGAAUGGUGCUGCCUCUGGGGCUUUGGUGAAUGGGUUUCGGAAGCCCGUUAUUACUAGGGUUGAUGAUAGGGUUAGGAUUAAUAUAACAAGAUCGAGAUCGAAGGAUGAGAUGAGGAAGCUUAAGAGGAAGCUAGAAAGCGAGCUUGAUCAGGUUAGAACUUUAGUUGGGAAGGUUGAAGCCAAGGAGCAUCAGCUUACUGCUUACAGUACAAGUAAUGUUAACACUAACUCUAGGUAUGUCGGUGGCAGUGUUGGUAAUUUUGGCGGUUAUAAUCAGCCACAGUUGUUGAGGGCAAAUUCGGAGGUUGGUACAUUGGGACAUCAAUAUAGUCGGCCACAGUUACUGAGGGUGAAUUCUGAGGCAGGUUCUGGGGGAUAUCAAGAAACAAGACCGUUUCGACACUUGAAUGUUUCUGUGAUGGAGAAUAAUCAUGGGGCGGCUGAAUUUGUUGAGAAGGAGAAGAGGACGCCUAAGGCUAAUCAGUAUUAUAGAAAUUCAGAGUUUCUUUUGGGGAAGGAUAGAUUGCCUCCAGAAAGCAAUAAGAAGUUGAAGCUCACUGCAAAGAAACAUGGAGGUGACUCAGAAUAUGGGUAUGGCUUUGGUUUUGAUAGGAAUAGAGAUAAGGUGUUCAAGAGCUGUAGUAAUUUGCUUCAGAGGUUGAUGAAGCACAAGCAUGCCUGGGUGUUUAAUGAACCAGUGGAUGCCAAGAAGCUUAAUAUACCUGAUUAUCAUAUUAUUAUUAAACACCCAAUGGAUUUUGGUACAAUCAAGACUAGGUUAGGUCAGAAUUGGUACAAGUCUGCCAGGGAGUUUGCUGAGGAUGUGAGGCUUGUAUUUCGUAAUGCUAUGACAUACAAUCCGAAGGGACAAGAUGUCCACACAAUGGCAGAAGAGUUGUCAAAGAUAUUUGAAGAUAGGUGGAUAGCUAUAGAGAAGGAACAUUUUCCCUAUCAGAUGUAUUAUGAUGCAGGAUUGCCUAUUCCCACACCAAGAAAGGCCCCUCCUCCUUCCUUUACUCAUAUUCCUGCCCCCAUUCUCGCUCCUUUUUCAAUCCCUCCUGCCCCUCCAAUGAGGACAUUGGAUAGGUCAGAGUCGAUGACUGUGCCUGUUGAUUCCAGAUUAAAGCCCACCUAUUCAAAUCUUCCUCACACAGGUAGAACACCGGUUCCAAAGAAACCUAAAGCCAAGGAUCCAAACAAACGGGAUAUGACUUAUGAGGAGAAGCAGAAGCUUAGUACAAACCUCCAGAGCUUGCCCUCAGAAAAGCUAGAUGCUAUUGUUCAGAUUAUCAAGAAAAGGAACACAACCCUUAGUCAGCAUGAUGAUGAGAUUGAGGUGGACAUUGACAGUGUUGAUGCAGAAACACUAUGGGAGCUUGAUAGAUUUGUCACCAACUACAAGAAGAGUCUAAGUAAGAACAAGAGAAAAGCUGAACUUGCUCUGAAAAGAAGAGCUGAAGCUGCACAGGCUGUUCCAACAACAAAUCCAAUCCCAGCAGUUGUGGAACCACAGAAAGAAAGUAAAGGAGAUGAGAAGAAUAGUAGUCCUGUUGUUGAAGUCGAAAAGCAAGGUGACAAUGCCAGUGGAUCUAGUAGUUCAAGCAGUUCUAGCAGUGACUCCGGCUCAACUUCAAGUGAUUCUGACAGUGAUAGUUCCUCUGCCUAUGGAUCAGAUGCAGGCCACUCGCCCAAAACUUGAAUGGUACCUAGCUGGAAAUAAGUAUUCUUCCAUGUUCAAAACAUGUCUACUCUACGCAAGCUUGAGUUGGUUUGUUGUGGCUGAAGCUUUUUCAGCAUGGACGAACCACAGCCUAUGUGUACCAGGAAUUGUGUCCAUAGGAAUCUCACAUUUGUUGUCUAUUAAAAUUUCAUAUAUGGGUGUUUAUCGGGGCUGGAAUCUAUCUGAUGAAUACUUCUAAAACUACUUCUGCCUCUGUUUUGGUGAUUUUGUCCAAGAUCUGUUAGAUGAUAUAUCUUGGCUGGCAGAAAUGGUGCCGCAUUGUUGAGACAUAUAGCUGAAGUGGGUUUCUUUUUGUUCUUGGCAUUUUCCAACGUUGAUCUGUUAAACCGGUCUCUUCAGUUAAGAAGAUUGUCUGAUGUUUUUAAUUGAGAGUGGUGCCAUGGAAAUAUAUCGAGAUACAGGUUGCCAACACUGCUACCAGUUUCACUUAUCAAGUCUCAAGGUAGGAUUUAUCUUAUAUAUUCGGAGUUUGGUUACUGUUUGAUUUAUUUAGGGGGGCUAGUGAUAUGGCUAGUUUAGGAUCAUUAGAGCUAGACCUGGAUGGAGGAACGUUUCAGGGCUACUUUUAGAGUAGUUUGAUGUGUAGACUGUAUUGCCUGCUCGGACGUGUUAUUGCGUAUUGUAUCAUACUACCAAGCUGUUAAAGUAGAAAAAAUAGUUUUUAUGUUAUCUUUGUACAGAUUUCAACUCGAAAGCACGUCUAGCCUCAAAACCCUUAUGUAAAUUAUAUUUGCAUCAUCAGUAUAUUGAGCGGGGUGAAAACAUUUAUGUGCGGUGUUUA